Long non-coding RNA from Lutra lutra (Eurasian river otter), 2641 nucleotides. RefSeq lists it as uncharacterized. Lineage: Eukaryota; Metazoa; Chordata; Mammalia; Carnivora; Mustelidae. The transcript has 4 exons. The record is from RefSeq and is a predicted model, not a curated record.
GCGGCAAGUGCUAGAAGCCCUCUUGGCUGCCCAGCACCUCGCGAGAUUGCUUCUGCCGGGACUCUUCCUUUCUCUGUGCUUUUGGUUUUCACCCCUUUUCAGUACUUGUUUAGGUGCAGUUUGAUCUGCAGUGCGAAUGAAUGGGGAACAAAUCAAGUUCCUGCGCUAAUGGUACCUAACAUAGUACCGAAUGGGAGAGAGACGCGAUGAGCGAUACGCUAUUAGAGAAGUAAGUGUUGAGAAGAAACAAAAAGAAGUGUAAGGGAUUAGGAAGUGGCAGUGGUGAUGGGACGCGUGGCUAUGUUAGGUCGGGUGCCCAGGGAGGCGAGCCUGAGAGUACGAUUUUAAAUGAGUUCUGAAGAAGUGAGAAUCCUGCAAACUGCCAAUGAGCAGCAAAGGGACCUGAAGUCGGUUGGCAGAGUUCCAUCUUGGCUACUCCAGCUCAAUUCUCAGAAAGUCCCAAUGAGGCAACUUUGGCGAAAUUUCCAUCAUCCAACCAUUUAUGUCAGGUACCGUGCCAAGGACCUAAACUCAUUUAAUCCUCACACCAGUGCUCUGGGAUGGAUACUGUUGUUUGCUGCUAAAGAAACAGGGAUAAAGAGAGGUGAAGUAUUUGCUAAAGGUCACAUCCUGUCUGAGACCAGCUUCCCUGAAAGCAGGCUCUGAGGCAGAGAUCUGCAUCUGGGAGGUGUGGUGGAGACCGACCCUGGUAAAAACCCCCUUAGGCAGGUGAGAGCACCAGGACUGGGGGAGGGAGAAGUUGAACUGUGACACGAGAUCUCGGUGGACCCUUCAAGGCCCUGGAGUUGUCCUGCAUUGGAGGCCAAGGAGUCAGGCCUUUAUAUUCCUUUGUGGAUGACUCCUCAGCUGCCAGACUGCCUGGGCGAGGGGUAUAUCUUUAAGCUAAGGGAGCUCUCUUCACUGGAGAAGGACUUCUGGAAACUGCAACUGCUAAGCAGCCAACACUUCGGGCACCGGAAUUAUGAAAGCCCCAGCCCCGAAAGGAGAGUUUGAGCAGCGGGUCACCGUCCCCAGGACACACCGUGCCUUAGUUUCUAGUUCUGUGUAACAAGCUACCCUCACAUUUAAGGAUCAAAAUAACAAAUAGUUAUUAUCUCAUCGUUUCUGUGGGUCAGCAAUCCGGGGAUGGCUUUGCUGAGUGCCUCUAGCUCAGGAUGUUAAAGCAUAAAUUGUUCUAGCACCUGUUAACGUGGUAAGGAAGACUUCAGUCCAGAUUCUUGGAAUACGCGUCCGGACUAUCCCCAGGUGAGAAAGCUUGGGCUCAACUCCAAAUCCAGCAAAGACUGCUGGGAACUUGUAGCCAACAAGUGGAAUGAGGGGGUUAGUGGAUGAAAAAAAAGAUAUUACUAAGGGGAGACACCAAGGGUAGGGUGAUUCUUGCUAAACUAACAGGAUUCUUGCUGAAGGCAGGCCAGGGUGAUGAGAUAUCAAGGGUGGAGAAGGAAGAAUAUAAUCAGAUACCAAGGGUGAGGAGAUUCUUGCUAAACUUACUUAGUAGAAUUCUUAUUAUACCUGGGCUAUGCAGGCCCGGCAAGGACAGGGAGCCAAGGUCAAGGCCUCAUUAAGGAAAGGGCUCAGAGGAGGCCGACUGCAGUUUGUACAAGCAGAGUGUCUUUGUCAAGGUCUCUCACGAGGUUACGAGGUUACAGUCAAAGCUGUUGGCCAGGGCGGUGGUCUUACCUGACAGCUUGACCUGGAGAAGGGGAAGGAUUCUAGGAAGAAGGCAGAGUAAGAAGCACCAGGAUAUCUGUCUCCCCAUUUAGUGGACAAUUGUACUGUCAGAAUGUGUCUGAUGUAACUGUUCUGGAACUCUGAAGUUUGCUGAAGGCUCUGCAGGGAAGACCUGGAGAGUAAAUUACCUUCACUUUGAUCAAUUUCAGCUGUUAGCCACCAUAGCAACUACCCAUCCCCCAAUGGCUUGGAACUGUACCUUUAGUUUUCUGCAUGAGACUGAUACGUUUAAAGAAAAAGAUUGUUAGUGUGAAAACUAGUAUUACUGUAUCUUCGGUUUGUGACUCCACACUUUGUUUUCUAUAUAAUUUAGGAGAAUAGUGAAUUUAAAAGAAUUAUUCAUUUGUUUGGGGGCACACAAUGUAUAAAGAUGAUAUCAGCAAUCAAAAGGGGUAAGGACAGAGCUAUAAAGGAGCAGAGUUUUUGUAUGUUAUUGAAGGUAUAAAUUCAAAUGAGAGCAUUAUAAAUUUAGAAUCUUAAAUGUAAUCCCAUGGGAACCACAAAGAAAAUAGCUGUAUAAUAUACACAGAAGGAAAUGGGAAAGGAAUUUAAACAACUCACUACAAAAAAUAAACUAAACAGAAAAGAAGAGCGUAAGGCAGGAAAUGAGAGACAAAAAAGUUACAGGACAUAUGGAAUACAAAUAGCACUAUGCCAGGAGUAAGUCCCUCUUGAUAAGUAAUUAAGUGUAAUAAAUUUAACUUGCCAUUCAGAAGACAAAGAUUGGCAGAAUGGGCAAACACACAACCUAACUCUAUGCGAUCUAUAAGACUCACUUGAGAUCCAAAGGCACUAUCAAGUGGAAAGGGGAGGAUAGAAAAAGAUAUUCCAAGUAAUAGUCACCAGGAGAGAGCAGAGGUGGCCAUAUUAAUAUCAAUUGAUUUUAUUU